UCCAGACUCCUACGGGAGGCAGCAGUGGGGGAUAUUGCACAAUGGGGGGAACCCUGAUGCAGCGACGCCGCGUGGGUGAAGGAGCGUUUCGGCGCGUAAAGCCCUCUCGGCAGGGAAGAAGGAGGACGGUACCUGACUAAGAAGCCCCGGCUAACUACGUGCCAGCAGCCGCGGUAAUACGUAGGGGGCAAGCGUUAUCCGGAUUUACUGGGUGUAAAGGGGGCGCAGACGGCAGCGCAAGCCAGGAGUGAAAGCCCGGGGCCCAACCCCGGGACUGCUCUUGGAACUGCGCGGCUGGAGUGCAGGAGGGGCAGGCGGAAUUCCUGGUGUAGCGGUGAAAUGCGUAGAUAUCAGGAGGAACACCGGUGGCGAAGGCGGCCUGCUGGACUGCGACUGACGUUGAGGCCCGAAAGCGUGGGGAGCAAACAGGAUUAGAUACCCCCGUAGA
This 448-nucleotide ribosomal RNA is filed under the name uncultured bacterium. RNAcentral describes it as "partial 16S ribosomal RNA". It matches the Rfam family "Bacterial small subunit ribosomal RNA", at positions 330 to 794 of the family's 1533-position model. The record is from RNAcentral.